RNAcentral lists this unclassified non-coding RNA (157 nucleotides) under uncultured Thelonectria. RNAcentral's name for it is "sequence contains ITS1". The record is from RNAcentral. Lineage: Eukaryota; Fungi; Ascomycota; Sordariomycetes; Hypocreales; Nectriaceae.
CCGAGUUUACAACUCCCAAACCCCUGUGAACAUACCUUAACGUUGCUUCGGCGGACCACCCUCGCCUGACCGCGGGGGCCCGCCAGAGGACCCAAAACCCAAACUUAGUUUUUGUCUUGCAAAACGAACCUCUGAGUGGAUUUUAUAAAUCAAAUCA